RNAcentral lists this non-coding RNA (42 nucleotides) under Aquamicrobium defluvii. The record is from RNAcentral. Lineage: Bacteria; Pseudomonadati; Pseudomonadota; Alphaproteobacteria; Hyphomicrobiales; Phyllobacteriaceae.
AGAAGGGCUUCCGGAACUAAUUUCGGGGGCCUUUUUCUUUGC